RNAcentral lists this ribosomal RNA (1422 nucleotides) under uncultured organism. RNAcentral's name for it is "16S ribosomal RNA". It matches the Rfam family "Bacterial small subunit ribosomal RNA". The record is from RNAcentral.
AGGAUGAACGCUAGCUACAGGCUUAACACAUGCAAGUCGAGGGGCAGCAUGGUCUUAGCUUGCUAAGGCCGAUGGCGACCGGCGCACGGGUGAGUAACACGUAUCCAACCUGCCGUCUACUCUUGGACAGCCUUCUGAAAGGAAGAUUAAUACAAGAUGGCAUCAUGAGUCCGCAUGUUCACAUGAUUAAAGGUAUUCCGGUAGACGAUGGGGAUGCGUUCCAUUAGAUAGUAGGCGGGGUAACGGCCCACCUAGUCUUCGAUGGAUAGGGGUUCUGAGAGGAAGGUCCCCCACAUUGGAACUGAGACACGGUCCAAACUCCUACGGGAGGCAGCAGUGAGGAAUAUUGGUCAAUGGGCGAGAGCCUGAACCAGCCAAGUAGCGUGAAGGAUGACUGCCCUAUGGGUUGUAAACUUCUUUUAUAAAGGAAUAAAGUCAGGUAUGGAUACCCGUUUGCAUGUACUUUAUGAAUAAGGAUCGGCUAACUCCGUGCCAGCAGCCGCGGUAAUACGGAGGAUCCGAGCGUUAUCCGGAUUUAUUGGGUUUAAAGGGAGCGUAGAUGGAUGUUUAAGUCAGUUGUGAAAGUUUGCGGCUCAACCGUAAAAUUGCAGUUGAUACUGGAUAUCUUGAGUGCAGUUGAGGCAGGCGGAAUUCGUGGUGUAGCGGUGAAAUGCUUAGAUAUCACGAAGAACUCCGAUUGCGAAGGCAGCCUGCUAAGCUGCAACUGACAUUGAGGCUCGAAAGUGUGGGUAUCAAACAGGAUUAGAUACCCUGGUAGUCCACACGGUAAACGAUGAAUACUCGCUGUUUGCGAUAUACAGCAAGCGGCCAAGCGAAAGCGUUAAGUAUUCCACCUGGGGAGUACGCCGGCAACGGUGAAACUCAAAGGAAUUGACGGGGGCCCGCACAAGCGGAGGAACAUGUGGUUUAAUUCGAUGAUACGCGAGGAACCUUACCCGGGCUUAAAUUGCAGAUGAAUUACGGUGAAAGCCGUAAGCCGCAAGGCAUCUGUGAAGGUGCUGCAUGGUUGUCGUCAGCUCGUGCCGUGAGGUGUCGGCUUAAGUGCCAUAACGAGCGCAACCCUUGUUGUCAGUUACUAACAGGUUCCGCUGAGGACUCUGACAAGACUGCCAUCGUAAGAUGUGAGGAAGGUGGGGAUGACGUCAAAUCAGCACGGCCCUUACGUCCGGGGCUACACACGUGUUACAAUGGGGGGUACAGAGGGCCGCUACCACGCGAGUGGAUGCCAAUCCCAAAAACCUCUCUCAGUUCGGACUGGAGUCUGCAACCCGACUCCACGAAGCUGGAUUCGCUAGUAAUCGCGCAUCAGCCACGGCGCGGUGAAUACGUUCCCGGGCCUUGUACACACCGCCCGUCAAGCCAUGGGAGCCGGGGGUACCAGGAGUGCGUAACCGCGAGGAG